RNAcentral lists this ribosomal RNA (253 nucleotides) under uncultured bacterium. Its description in RNAcentral is "partial 16S ribosomal RNA". It matches the Rfam family "Bacterial small subunit ribosomal RNA", at positions 524 to 776 of the family's 1533-position model. The record is from RNAcentral.
UACGUAGGGGGCAAGCGUUGUCCGGAUUUAUUGGGCGUAAAGAGCGUGUAGGCGGCUUUACAGGUCCGUUGUGAAAACUCGAGGCUCAACCUCGAGACGCCGGUGGAAACCGUAAGGCUAGAGUCCGGAAGAGGAGAGUGGAAUUCCUGGUGUAGCGGUGAAAUGCGCAGAUAUCAGGAAGAACACCCGUGGCGAAGGCGGCUCUCUGGGAAGGUACUGACGCUGAGACGCGAAAGCGUGGGGAGCGAACAGG